Molecule: small nucleolar RNA, 79 nt
Filed under: Mus spicilegus (steppe mouse)
Lineage: Eukaryota; Metazoa; Chordata; Mammalia; Rodentia; Muridae
Description: Small nucleolar RNA SNORA32 (ENSMSIG00000011079.1)
Source: RNAcentral
UGGACAUUGCCAAAAAUAAAAGUUCCCAUUAGUUUCUCUGUAUGCUCCUUGCCUAGCAGUUAACCUGUUUGGAAUAUUG